Molecule: long non-coding RNA, 507 nt
Filed under: Capsicum annuum
Lineage: Eukaryota; Viridiplantae; Streptophyta; Magnoliopsida; Solanales; Solanaceae
Description: long non-coding RNA (CANN_LNC017143)
Source: RNAcentral
AUCUCAAGGCAAAUGAAUAUUCUAUAUAACACAUAGUUGUGGUUAAACCGACAUGCUUCUUAUGAUUCCUCUAUAGCACGUUAAUUAAUCUCAAUUCCUCUAAUGUUUGGCUAGAUAUUUACUCAUUCGUACUAAGCUUGCAUUAAAGAUCUUGAGGGAAGGAUGUCCUCAAGGAAAGUUUAAUUAUAAGAGCGCGCCACGAGAUAUAUAUGUCAGACCCUUCUAAGUUCUAAUGAGUCAUCCUACCACAAACAAGAGCCUAGACUUGAAUUAGAGAAGGAUAGAAGGGGCACAUUUAUUGUUCAUUGAGUUUCAAAUUGUGCAGCAACUGGGAUAUCUCAUUUAUCCCCAAAUUAAACAAAAGAUUUUGAAGGAUGGAGGCGAGAAAAGAGAACAGUCUGCAUAAUACUUUUUUCGAUCCAUAUUACUUGCCGCAUUUUUUUUGUACACCCCUUAAAAAAAAUAUUAGCGGGAGGGUAAUUUAACUAAAUUAUCCAUAUUUAUGAC